Molecule: ribosomal RNA, 460 nt
Filed under: uncultured bacterium
Lineage: Bacteria
Description: partial 16S ribosomal RNA
Rfam family: Bacterial small subunit ribosomal RNA
Source: RNAcentral
CCUACGGGUGGCAGCAGUGAGGAAUAUUGGUCAAUGGACGCAAGUCUGAACCAGCCAUGCCGCGUGCAGGAAGACGGCUCUAUGAGUUGUAAACUGCUUUUGUACGAGGGUAAAUCCCGAUACGUGUAUCGGGUUGAAAGUAUCGUACGAAUAAGGAUGGGCUAACUCCGUGCCAGCAGCCGCGGUAAUACGGAGGAUUCAAGCGUUAUCCGGAUUUAUUGGGUGUAAAGGGUGCGUAGGCGGUUCGAUAAGUUAGAGGUGAAAUCCCGGGGCUCAACUCCGGCACUGCCUCUGAUACGGUCGGGCUAGAGUUUAGUUGCGGUAGGCGGAAUGUAUGGUGUAGCGGUGAAAUGCAUAGAGAUCAUACAGAACACCGAUUGCGAAGGCAGCUUGCUGCAGCGGAACUGACGCUGAUGCUCGAAAGCGCGGGUAGCGAACAGGAUUAGAUACCCUUGUAGUC